Molecule: long non-coding RNA, 1451 nt
Filed under: Homo sapiens (human)
Lineage: Eukaryota; Metazoa; Chordata; Mammalia; Primates; Hominidae
Description: HSALNT0315949
Source: RNAcentral
GGAGAGAAUGAGCUUGGAGCCGCAGGGCUUAAUCCCGCGCGGCUCAGAGAUGGGUUUCUGGACUCGCGAAGCAGCUGCAACAAGGCAUCACUCACUGUAUAAGUAUUUCCAUUUCUGAGAGCAAAAGGAAGAACUUAAGCGGGCGGCACUUGGAGUGUAAAUUGCUUUGUAGUAUUUAAAGGCAGAAUGGAUCCUGGGCAGCCGAGCUGAUCAUGAGGUUCCUGAGGCCUCCUAGCCAUGCUUCCUGUGCAGCCUAUGGAACUCAACAAACCGGCAGGACUUCCUGUGAAAUCAUGACCACCAUGUGCUCUUUCAGCCUCUAUCAGUUCCUACCUCUAAGCACCUGAGAGCCAAAGCAAACCACAGGAAACCACAGGUACUAACUCUUUUAGACCUGAUGAAGUGUCUCCCAAAUACAGUCUGGCAUGAAUGAAAGCCAAGCAUAUUCCAUCAUUUCCUAAAACCAAGAUAGAGCACAUAUGGGAACUUGUGAAAUAAGGAUGCCCUGCGGUUGUUUUCAGGACUGAAGACAACAGCUCCACGAUGUAUCUUUGCAUAAGAAUACACUUGUAUAAUAAGUUUUUUUUUUUAGAGAAAUUGCAUGUAUCUGCCUUAUAAACUUUUUCAUUCAUUCAUUUUCUUUCUUCCUAAUCUGUUCCAUAAAGCAAAUUUCUAACUUAUUGUUAAUCAAAAUAAUUAUUGAAAUAAUUAGUACUUUCAUAUGAUAAAGAUUAUUUUAAUCUGCAGCUACAAAAUAUGUAACUCAUUAAUAUUUAAACAAUCACAAUUUUCUAUUAACAUUAUAGCAUUUUAUCUACUACUAGAUCAGGAAUUAGCUAUUUUUUGUAAAAUUUCUUUGUAAGGCAAAGCAAUAGUAUUGUAUAUACUUUCCUAAAGAUUGUCAAGUUCAGUUUUGCUUAAAUUUAACAGUACAUGUGACACUUUCUGUUUGAAGAAUAAGUUGGUUUUAAGUUUAUACCAAACAAAAGCAUCUCUUUUGUUUUGCAAAAUCUGAAACUUUGAUCUUUCUAGUUGUGACUUCUUGUAAAUAUGUUUUAUAUAAAUAUUCUAUGAAUUGGUUAUUAACAAGGUAAAGAAAGAUUGAUAUGUAAGCUGAUUCUUAAACAUUAAUUUUCUGGAGAUAAACUUUUUUAAAAUUAUGCUUUAAAAAUAUUUUAACACAUGUUAUCAAAAAGGAACUGAAAUAUCUUAGGCAUAAAAGACAUCUCUAGAGGUCAUUAUUCAGUUUCCAGAAAGUACUGAAACUAUCUCUGACAGAUUGAUACGUUUUCUGCAUUUAUAGCUCUCUGGAGAGAGGUUCUGUAUAUUUAACAAUUCUCACUGUGAGGGAUAUUUUAAGUAUUUCAAAUUUAAAGUGCUCAUGUUUCAGAUUCAGAUUAUUAUUAUCAUCAUCAUUAUUUUGGUUCUGGCUUCAGUAAAAAUGUGAAAAA